UACGUAGGGUGCAAGCGUUAAUCGGAAUUACUGGGCGUAAAGCGUGCGCAGGCGGCUUUGCAAGACAGAUGUGAAAUCCCCGGGCUACAACCCUGGGAACUGCAUUUGUGACUGCAUGGCUAGAGUACGGUAGAGGGGGAUGGAAUUCCGCGUGUAGCAGUGAAAUGCGUAGAUAUGCGGAGGAACACCGAUGGCGAAGGCAAUCCCCUGGACCUGUACUGACGCUCAUGCACGAAAGCGUGGGGAGCAAACAGG
Molecule: ribosomal RNA, 255 nt
Filed under: uncultured bacterium
Lineage: Bacteria
Description: partial 16S ribosomal RNA
Rfam family: Bacterial small subunit ribosomal RNA
Source: RNAcentral